GCGGAAGUGGCGAAAUUGGUAGACGCACCAGAUUUAGGUUCUGGCGCCGCAAGGUGUGAGAGUUCAAGUCUCUCCUUCCGCA
Transfer RNA from Photobacterium gaetbulicola Gung47, 82 nucleotides. It matches the Rfam family "tRNA". From Rfam's summary of the family: Transfer RNA (tRNA) molecules are approximately 80 nucleotides in length. Their secondary structure includes four short double-helical elements and three loops (D, anti-codon, and T loops). Further hydrogen bonds mediate the characteristic L-shaped molecular structure. tRNAs have two regions of fundamental functional importance: the anti-codon, which is responsible for specific mRNA codon recognition, and the 3' end, to which the tRNAs corresponding amino acid is attached (by aminoacyl-tRNA synthetases). tRNAs cope with the degeneracy of the genetic code in two manners: having more than one tRNA (with a specific anti-codon) for a particular amino acid; and 'wobble' base-pairing, i.e. permitting non-standard base-pairing at the 3rd anti-codon position. The record is from Rfam. NCBI's taxonomy places the organism in Bacteria, Pseudomonadati, Pseudomonadota, Gammaproteobacteria, Vibrionales, Vibrionaceae.